RNAcentral lists this transfer RNA (577 nucleotides) under uncultured Gammaproteobacteria bacterium. Its description in RNAcentral is "partial 16S-23S ribosomal RNA intergenic spacer". The stretch from base 212 to 285 matches the Rfam family "tRNA". The record is from RNAcentral. Lineage: Bacteria; Pseudomonadati; Pseudomonadota; Gammaproteobacteria.
CCUCCUUAUAACGAAGUUACACUUACAGAGUGUUCACACAAAUAAUUAAUUACGAAAUACGAGAAGAGAAAGCUACUAGCUGCAACUUAAAGUUCAAAGCUAAUAAGUGUUCUAAUCGAGGCCGCGAGGCUUUUGUCGACGGAAGCAAACGUCUGUUUGUGACCUAGCAAAAACGCAGCAACGAUGAGUAGGGCAGUUAGAAGCGAGAAAUAGGCCUGUAGCUCAGCUGGUUAGAGCGCACCCCUGAUAAGGGUGAGGUCGGCAGUUCAAGUCUGCCCAGGCCUACCAAUAUUUUUUACUCUACGUUAUGUACCUCGUCGUUUAGCAGGCUAAACGUCCUCGAUACAUGUCUUGAUUAAAAAGUAUUGGCUUAUAGAUACACUCAGUAUGGGGCUAUAGCUCAGCUGGGAGAGCGCUUGAUUUGCAUUCAAGAGGUCCGCGGUUCGAUCCCGCGUAGCUCCACCAUACUGAAACACUCUCUUUAAAUAAAACUCUAAAAAAUACACAUUUUACACAAUGUCCUAUUUCUUUAAAAGUCCUUUUAAUGACUCCAUGGCUCUUUUAACAAUUUUGGAAA